CCUACGGGGGGCAGCAGUGGGGAAUUUUGCUCAAUGCUCGUAAGAGUGACGCAGCGACGCCGCGUGAAUGACGAAGGCCUUCGGGUCGUAAAGUUCUUUCGACAGGGAAGAAAAUGCCUAUAAGUAACUGUGUAUGUAUUGACGGUACCUGUAUAAGCAGCCCCGGCUAACUCCGUGCCAGCAGCCGCGGUAAUACGGAGGGGGCGAGCGUUGUUCGGAGGGACUGGGCGUAAAGAGCACGUAGGCGGUGUUGUAAGUCAUUAGUCAAAGACUAGAGCUCAACUUUAGUAAGGCUAGUGAUACUAUAAUACUAGAGUAUCAGAGAGGAUUGCAGAAUUCCUGGUGUAGCGGUGAAAUGCGUAGAUAUCAGGAGGAAUACCGUUAGCGAAGGCGGCAAUCUGGCUGGAAACUGACGCUGAGGUGCGAAAGCGUGGGUAGCAAACAGGAUUAGAUACCCCAGUAGUC
This 465-nucleotide ribosomal RNA is filed under the name uncultured bacterium. RNAcentral's name for it is "partial 16S ribosomal RNA". It matches the Rfam family "Bacterial small subunit ribosomal RNA", at positions 338 to 795 of the family's 1533-position model. The record is from RNAcentral.